GGAGUAGCAAUGAUUAGUAGCAGACGUGUGAGUAAGAUGGGGGUAACUAUACUUUGGCCUGGAAUAACAAGAGGAAAGUUGUGGUAAUGCCGGAGAAGUCUUUACAGAGAAAGCUUUAUGGACCAUUGGAUGAGCCCGCACUUGAUUAGUUUGUUGGUAGGGUAAUGGCCUACCAAGACUAUGAUCAAUAGCUGAUUUGAGAGGAUGAUCAGCCACACUGGGACUGAGACACGGCCCAAACUCCUACGGGAGGCAGCAGUGGGGAAUCUUGCACAAUGGAGGAAACUCUGAUGCAGCGAUGCCGCGUGAGUGAAGAAGGCCUUUGGGUUGUAAAGCUCUUUCGUCGGGGAAGAAAAUGACUGUACCCGAAUAAGAAGGUCCGGCUAACUUCGUGCCAGCAGCCGCGGUAAUACGAAGGGACCUAGCGUAGUUCGGAAUUACUGGGCUUAAAGAGUUCGUAGGUGGUUGAAAAAGUUGGUGGUGAAAUCCCAGAGCUUAACUCUGGAACUGCCAUCAAAACUUUUCAGCUAGAGUAUGAUAGAGGAAAGCAGAAUUUCUAGUGUAGAGGUGAAAUUCGUAGAUAUUAGAAAGAAUACCAAUUGCGAAGGCAGCUUUCUGGAUCAUUACUGACACUGAGGAACGAAAGCAUGGGUAGCGAAGAGGAUUAGAUACCCUCGUAGUCCAUGCCGUAAACGAUGUGUGUUAGACGUUGGAAAUUUAUUUUCAGUGUCGCAGGGAAACCGAUAAACACACCGCCUGGGGAGUACGACCGCAAGGUUAAAACUCAAAUGAAUUGACGGGGACCCGCACAAGUAGUGGAGCAUGUGGUUUAAUUCGAAGAUACGCGCAGAACCUUACCAACACUUGACAUGUUCGUCGCGACUCUAAGAGAUUAGAGUUUUCGGUUCGGCCGGACGAAACACAGGUGCUGCAUGGCUGUCGUCAGCU
This 948-nucleotide ribosomal RNA is filed under the name marine metagenome. RNAcentral describes it as "bacterial SSU rRNA". It matches the Rfam family "Bacterial small subunit ribosomal RNA", at positions 79 to 1060 of the family's 1533-position model. The record is from RNAcentral.